CAGUAGCCGCGGUAAUACGGAGGGAGCUAGCGUUGUUCGGAAUUACUGGGCGUAAAGCGCACGUAGGCGGCUUUGUAAGUCAGAGGUGAAAGCCUGGAGCUCAACUCCAGAACUGCCUUUGAGACUGCAUCGCUCGAAUCCGGGAGAGGUGAGUGGAAUUCCGAGUGUAGAGGUGAAAUUCGUAGAUAUUCGGAAGAACACCAGUGGCGAAGGCGGCUCACUGGACCGGUAUUGACGCUGAGGUGCGAAAGCGUGGGGAGCAAACAGGAUUAGAUACCCCGGUAGUCCCUGUCUCUUAUAC
Molecule: ribosomal RNA, 301 nt
Filed under: uncultured bacterium
Lineage: Bacteria
Description: partial 16S ribosomal RNA
Rfam family: Bacterial small subunit ribosomal RNA
Source: RNAcentral